Molecule: long non-coding RNA, 1028 nt
Organism: Strongylocentrotus purpuratus (purple sea urchin)
Lineage: Eukaryota; Metazoa; Echinodermata; Echinoidea; Camarodonta; Strongylocentrotidae
Exons: 2
Source: RefSeq, a predicted model, not a curated record
UACUGCACAUGUAUAUUGCACAGGAGCAAAAUGGCCCCGUCGCUUGAGUUUCUUUGUUGUCGCGUCCAGCUUCCCUCCCUUGGAUUUUAAUAAAUUUGCUGCAUGUUAAGAUGCGAUUGAGCUGCCUAAAGUUGGCCGGUUUCCCCGGCUCUGUGGAUGAUAACUUGGAAUAUUAUUUGUAGCAAGGUAACUUACAUUUUGAGAAUUCAGAAUUGUGUAGUACGGAGCCCUGUUGGAUUGCUCCUGGUAAAUCAGGUGCUGUAUGCCUGCACAGCAAGAUGGACAAACGCCCCAGAAGGAGCACUAGCAACAAGAAGUCGGUAAGUAGACUAUCAAUGUCUUCUCCACCCUCGUAUUCUCCCAAGUCGAUGUUGUCCACUUGCAUGUACAGUAUGUGAUUGGCCCUAACAUUUGUUUCAAAGUUCAUGUAUAAUUAGAAGUACAGGGCCUGUAGGAAGGUUUGACUACAAAAGCUUGGGGGAAAUGUUUAGCCUUAUAACCUCCCACAAUAUGAUAAUUCAAUAAUAAUUUUGCAUCAUCAGAGCAAAGUUUUGGCAAUGCAGUUUUAUGCUAUUCAGGCCUUUUGUGUCAGAGGGAUUGUUGUACUUGGUCUCUUAUGUUGUAACUGUAUUGGCCUCAUGAAUAACAAUUAAGUUUACAUGCAAAUGGCACAACAUCUUUUGUGGGUUUCAAUAUAAAAUGCAUGUACUGUACAUGUACAUUCAUGCACAUGUAUAUACAUGUACACAAGGGCUUAUAAAUUUGUGUGGGCAGAUGAUUUCAAAGGAAUUUUGACCCAAAUUUUGAAUGACGGUACAGAUUCAAAGUAAAUAAGAUACAGUUUGCAUUAUGUAUAUUGUCAUUGUAUUAAAUGAAGUUGCAAUGCAUACCGGUACGUGUAGUUCAAUCAAAUAUGAAUGACGAUAGAAGCACUAGAUGAUACAUGUACAUGUAGAUUCCAUAAGAUUUGUCAUCAAGAAAAUUCAAGACCAUAUCAAAAUUGUUAGAAUCCACUUUACCAAAAAAAA